RNA transcript from Pan troglodytes (chimpanzee), 3770 nucleotides. It is a transcript of the gene named zinc finger and BTB domain containing 3, with no coding region annotated. Lineage: Eukaryota; Metazoa; Chordata; Mammalia; Primates; Hominidae. The transcript has 3 exons. The record is from RefSeq and is a predicted model, not a curated record.
GAAGGUGGGAAGGGGCGGAGCUCGCCCUGUGGCUGCUCGGUGGUGGGUGAGGUAUCAGCUUUCUCCGCUAGUUCCCACCCUGGGAGUCCUUAGCCCCUGGAAUGCGUGAGGGAGAUGCUUAGGGAGUUCUCGAAGUGGGGCGUAGAGGCAUCGCCUGGCAAGGCCUGGGAGCGAAAAAGAUCUCUACUUCGUGGAGCCGUUGGACGCUACCGGGGAGCCACUGGUGGGGACCUUUUUUGGGCCCCCUUUCCUUCGUGGGGUACUAUGGAGUUCCCAGAACACAGUCAGCAGCUGCUGCAGAGCCUCCGGGAGCAGCGGUCCCAGGGUUUCCUUUGUGACUGCACCGUGAUGGUGGGUAGUACCCAGUUCUUGGCCCAUCGGGCUGUGCUGGCCUCCUGCAGCCCAUUCUUCCAGCUUUUCUACAAGGAGCGGGAAUUGGACAAGAGGGAUCUGGUGUGUAUUCACAAUGAAAUUGUCACAGCCCCAGCCUUUGGGCUGCUUCUGGACUUUAUGUAUGCUGGCCAGCUGACCCUGAGAGGGGAUACCCCUGUGGAGGAUGUGCUGGCAGCUGCCAGCUACUUGCACAUGAAUGACAUCGUCAAGGUGUGUAAGCGGCGGCUUCAAGCCCGGGCCCUGGCAGAGGCAGACAGUACCAAGAAGGAGGAGGAAACCAACUCACAGCUUCCUAGUUUGGAGUUUUUGUCUAGUACUUCCCGUGGCACCCAACCUUCGUUGGCAUCUGCUGAGACAUCAGGCCACUGGGGCAAAGGGGAAUGGAAAGGCUCUGCUGCUCCCUCACCUACUGUCCGUCCUCCAGAUGAGCCACCAAUGUCUAGUGGGGCUGACACUACACAGCCUGGCAUGGAGGUUGACGCACCACAUCUGCGGGCACCUCAUCCACCAGUGGCUGAUGUCUCUCUUGCCAGCCCUAGUAGCUCCACUGAGACCAUUCCUACAAACUACUUCUCUUCUGGCAUCUCAGCAGUUUCAUUGGAGCCACUGCCAUCUCUUGAUGUGGGUCCUGAGAGUCUGAGGGUGGUGGAACCAAAGGAUCCUGGAGGACCACUGCAAGGCUUCUAUCCCCCAGCCUCAGCCCCAACGUCAGCCCCAGCCCCUGUCUCAGCUCCAGUUCCAUCCCGGGCUCCAGCCCCAGCUGAAGCUGAGCUGGUCCAGGUGAAAGUUGAAGCUAUUGUGAUCUCUGAUGAAGAGACUGAUGUGUCAGAUGAACAGCCUCAGGGUCCUGAGAGAGCAUUCCCAUCUGGAGGAGCAGUGUAUGGGGCACAGCCCUCCCAGCCAGAGGCUUUUGAAGACCCAGGGGCAGCAGGACUGGAGGAGGUGGGGCCAAGUGACCACUUCCUGCCAACAGACCCUCAUCUACCCUACCAUCUGCUGCCAGGUGCAGGGCAGUAUCAUCGAGGACUGGUGACCUCACCUCUGCCUGCACCUGCAUCCCUGCAUGAGCCACUUUACCUGUCUUCUGAGUACGAAGCAGCUCCAGGAAGCUUUGGGGUUUUUACUGAGGAUGUUCCCACCUGCAAGACAUGUGGGAAGACCUUCUCAUGCUCUUACACACUACGGCGACAUGCCACGGUGCACACACGUGAGCGACCCUACGAGUGCCGCUACUGCCUGCGGAGCUACACGCAGUCAGGGGACCUCUACCGCCACAUCCGCAAGGCUCACAAUGAGGACCUGGCCAAACGCAGCAAACCAGAUCCAGAAGUGGGACCCCUUCUAGGGGUGCAGCCUCUCCCUGGCUCCCCAACAGCAGACAGACAGAGCAGCAGUGGUGGAGGGCCACCUAAAGAUUUUGUACUUGGCCCCAAAAACUAACAUCUAAGGGAGCAUGAGCUGAUGCUAGGCUGCUCUUACCAUCCUUAGAUGGCAGCUCAGAAGGUGCGGUGGCUCAUGCCUGUAAUACCAACACUUUGGGAGGCCGAGGUGACCAGCCUGCCCAACAUGGUGAAACCCCAUCUCUACUAAAAACACACAAAAAAUUGUCUAGGUAUGGUGGCUCACACCUGUAAUUACAGCACUUUGGGAGGCCGAUGCGGGCGGAUCACUUGAGGUCAGGAGUUCAAGACCAGACUGGCCAACAUGGUGAAACCGUCUCUACUAAAACUACAAAAAUUAGCCAGGAGUGGUGGUGGGCGCCUGUAAUCCCAGCUACCUGGGAGGCAGAGGCAGGAGAAUCAUUUGAACCCAGGAGGUAGAGGUUGCAGUGAGGUGAGAUCACGCCACUGCACUUCAGCCUGGGUGACAAGACUGAAACUCCACCUCAAAAAAAAGAAAAGAAAAAUUAUCCAGGCUUGGUGGCGGGUGCCUGUAAUCCCAGCUACUCAGGAGGUUGAGGCAGGAGAAUUGCUUGUACCUGGGAGGCGGAGGUUGCAGUGAGCCGAGAUCGCAUCAUUGCAUUCCAACCUGGGCAACAAGAGUGAGACUCUGUCUCAAAAAAAAACAAAAACAAAACAUUGUUUGAAGGGCUGUUGGGGUGGCUCAUGCCUGUUCUCUCAGCACUUUGGGAGGCCGAGGUGAAGGAUUGCUUGUGGGUAGGAGUUACAGAUUAGCCUGGGCAACAUAGUGAGGCCUGCCUGUCACUAUAAAAUAAUAAUGAAAAGUUGAACUUAGUUAACCAAGAACUGUAAGUUGUUUUCUUUUUCUGUCCUUUUGUGUAUUUGGCUUUGUUGCCUUGUUACCUCUGCUUUCCCCACUGAAAGACCUUUUGUUGAUAGAACAGGUACUGUAUUGAUGAUUUGAAAUUUUUGCCUCAAGUUGUAGAUAUGAAUUGACUUCUUUGAAGAUGAGAAACUGGAAGGCAGGAAACACUAAGGCCCAUAGUGGCUGAUUAGUGGCGGGAGGUUGAGGGUCUGAGGUGCUGUGGCAAUGAUGGGUGCUUGCAAAACCUAAAGCAAGAAACUCAGGAUGAGAGGAUCUUACAGUUCAUGUAGUCCAACACCCUCACUUGAAAAGUGUGACGACAACAGUCUAGGGAGGUUUAGGUUACUCACCUAAGGUCACGCAGGUGGUUACUGACAGUGGAGAUAGCAAAGAAAUGGGAGUUUGGGGUGCCAUCAUGGGAUGGGGGCAAAAAAGAGCUCUGGGAAUGUGUGAGGAGUCUGGCCCCGCCUGUGCUGUAGGAGGGCCUAAAGGUUUGCCUACAAACUUUUUCUUGGUACAUAAGGACAUGAGUGCAAAUAAAGCAGGAAGGAAAACAGAAAUAGGCUGGUCGCGGCUCACGCCUGUAAUCCCAGCACUUUGGGAGGCCGAGGCGGGCGGAUCACAAGGUCAGGAGUUGGAGACCAGCCUGGCCAACAUAGUGAAACCCCAUCUCUACUAAAAAUACAAAAAAUUAGCUGGGCGUGGUGGCAGGCGUCUGUAAUCCCAGCUACUCGGGAGGCUGAGGCAGGAGAAUUGCUUGAACCCAGGAGGCGGAGGUUGCAGUGAGCCGAGAUCACGCCAUUGCACUCCAACCCUGGGUGACAGUGCGAGACUCUAUCUCAAAAAAAAAAAAAAAAAAGAAAAGGGGGAAAAUGACAAGUAAAUAUUCUUCUCUCUUUUCGAGUCUGUGUCAUAUUCAGCACUGUGAACCCUUACCAGCAAGUGACUAUUUUUGAGUUACAGGAAGGAAAGGUGAGCAGCCAUGUGGCUAAAGAAAGCUCCUUAACUAGGACAUAUGGGAAGCAAAAGAUGGUUAACAUUUUUCUGCUGAAUGAAUUCUACAUUCUUUCACAUUCUUUGUGUUGAAAUAAACUUCUAGCUUAUCUUUCAAA